UACAGAGGUCCCAAGCGUUGUUCGGAUUCACUGGGCGUAAAGGGUGCGUAGGUGGCCAGGUAAGUUCGGUGUGAAAGCUCGGAGCUUAACUCCGAAAUGUCAUUGAAUACUAUCUGGCUAGAGGGUCGGAGGGGAGACUGGAAUUCUCGGUGUAGCAGUGAAAUGCGUAGAUAUCGAGAGGAACACCAGUGGCGAAGGCGGGUCUCUGGGCCGAUACUGACGCUGAGGAGCGAAAGCGUGGGGAGCGAACAGG
RNAcentral lists this ribosomal RNA (253 nucleotides) under uncultured bacterium. Its description in RNAcentral is "partial 16S ribosomal RNA". It matches the Rfam family "Bacterial small subunit ribosomal RNA", at positions 524 to 776 of the family's 1533-position model. The record is from RNAcentral.